AGAGUUUGAUCCUGGCUCAGGACGAACGCUGGCGGCGUGCCUAAUACAUGCAAGUCGAGCGGACCGGAUUGGGGCUUGCCUUGAUUCGGCCAGCGGCGGACGGGUGAGUAACACGUGGGCAACCUGCCCGCAAGACCGGGAUAACUCCGGGAAACCGGAGCUAAUACCGGAUAACACCGAAGACCGCAUGGUCUUCGGUUGAAAGGCGGCCUUUGGGCUGUCACUUGCGGAUGGGCCCGCGGCGCAUUAGCUAGUUGGUGAGGUAACGGCUCACCAAGGCGACGAUGCGUAGCCGGCCUGAGAGGGUGACCGGCCACACUGGGACUGAGACACGGCCCAGACUCCUACGGGAGGCAGCAGUAGGGAAUCUUCCGCAAUGGGCGAAAGCCUGACGGAGCGACGCCGCGUGAGCGAAGAAGGCCUUCGGGUCGUAAAGCUCUGUUGUGAGGGACGAAGGAGCGCCGUUCGAAGAGGGCGGCGCGGUGACGGUACCUCACGAGAAAGCCCCGGCUAACUACGUGCCAGCAGCCGCGGU
RNAcentral lists this ribosomal RNA (535 nucleotides) under uncultured bacterium. RNAcentral describes it as "bacterial SSU rRNA". It matches the Rfam family "Bacterial small subunit ribosomal RNA", at positions 8 to 521 of the family's 1533-position model. The record is from RNAcentral.